CAGUCGCCGCGGGAAUACGUAGGUGGCAAGCGUUGUCCGGAAUUAUUGGGCGUAAAGGGCUCGCAGGCGGUUUCUUAAGUCUGAUGUGAAAACCCCCGGCUCAACCGGGGAAGGUCAUUGGAAACUGGGAAACUUGAGUGCAGAAGAGGAGAGUGGAAUUCCACGUGUAGCGGUGAAAUGCGUAGAGAUGUGGAGGAACACCAGUGGCGAAGGCGACUCUCUGGUCUGUAACUGACGCUGAGGAGCGAAAGCGUGGGGAGCGAACAGGAUUAGAUACCCCGGUAGUCCCUGUCUCUUAUAC
Molecule: ribosomal RNA, 301 nt
Filed under: uncultured bacterium
Lineage: Bacteria
Description: partial 16S ribosomal RNA
Rfam family: Bacterial small subunit ribosomal RNA
Source: RNAcentral